This is an RNA transcript of Ictidomys tridecemlineatus (thirteen-lined ground squirrel), 12430 nucleotides long. It is a transcript of the gene named GTP binding protein 8, with no coding region annotated. The record is from RefSeq and is a predicted model, not a curated record. NCBI's taxonomy places the organism in Eukaryota, Metazoa, Chordata, Mammalia, Rodentia, Sciuridae.
AGGACUCCGCCGCGGGGCUUCUGGGAAAGAAAAAUGGCUGCGCCCUGGCUUCGUCUUGGAAUGGAGCAGUUCUUUAAGAUGCCGGCGGCAAUGGGGCGCCAAGGCCGAGCUUACAGCACGUCCCAGACUUUUGCUGAGGUACUACGGCUGCCGAAGAAGCAGCUGACCAAGCUAGUGUACCCGCUGCAGGAACUCGAGCAGCACCUUGUUCCGGACUCAAGGCCCGACCUUCACCUGAGGGUCUUCGACCCUAGCCUGGAGGAUAUCUCGAGAGCGGAGAGUGUUUUCGCUUCCUCCGCCCGGAACCGUAUUGAGUACGUCAGUUCCGCGGUGCGGCUAGAUCACGCCCCGGACCUCUCCCGACCUGAGGUAUGUUUUAUAGGCAGAAGCAAUGUUGGAAAAUCGUCCCUAAUAAAGGCUUUAUUUUCAUUGGCCCCAGAGGUUGAAGUUAGAGUCUCAAAAAAACCGGGUCAUACAAAGAAAAUGAAUUUUUUCAAAGUUGGAAAGUAUUUUACAGUGGUGGACAUGCCAGGUUAUGGCUAUAGAGCACCAGAAGAUUUUGUUGACAUGGUAGAGGCCUAUCUAAAAGAACGAAGGAAUUUGAAGAGAACAUUUUUAUUAGUGGAUAGUGCUGUUGGAAUUACAAAAACAGACAAUAUUGCCAUAGAAAUGUGUGAAGAAUUUGCAUUACCUUAUGUGAUGGUAUUAACAAAAAUUGACAAAUCUUCCAAAGGACAUCUUUUAAAACAAGUACUUCAGAUCCAGAAAUUUGUCAACACUCAAACACAAGGAUGUUUUCCUCAACUGUUUCCUGUAAGACAUUCAGAGCUGUCCCCUUCAGGGCAAUUUUGGUCACCCUGCAUCAGAGGAAGAGCACUCUGAAGAACAAAUUUGAGAGGGAAGAGGCUGGAGACAUGGAGACUAUUACAAAUGCUGAAGAUAGAAAUGAUGAAAGCCUGAACCUUCAAGCACUGAAAUGUUGAAAGAUAACCCUACGGGAAUCUUGGGAUUAUCCCAAGAUACAUGAAAUAAGAGAUGAAGAAAAGGAAGAGGUUGGGAAAGAGGAAGGAGAAAUGAGCUGCCAGCAAACAGAGAAAGGUGAGAUUGAAGCUUCAACUGCUAAGACAGACUCUCAUAGCUCCAUUCAUUUAAUUUAUCUUUCAUUUAUAAAUCUAGAUUCACAUUUUAGUAGACACGAAUAGCUUGAAGCGAAUUUAUUCCCUGUGAGCCUUUGCACUGACACCUUAAGUUUUGCUUAAAUCAGUUCUGUUAUGGCUUGUUCAAUACCCAUUGUUUCCACCAGGGGGCAGCAGGAAGCUGUACACAUACUACCCUUUAAAUUGGUCACCGAAACCACCAAGAUAAUCCCAGCUUCACAAACCCAAACAGAAUGGAGACAAAUCGAUUUAUACUUGGCAGACGAGAUUCAGAUAAUCAAAGAAAUGUCUCCCAAGCAAAGUAGAAGCGCAUGAUUUCCAGGCUUGGCCCCUGAAGAGGAGGCGAGUCAUGUGAUUUGAAGGCCUAGUUUUGGAUGGGGGUAGCAUAACCUAAAUUCAUUCUCAAGGAGCAGAAUCACCUGAUCCUGGAAAUGGCUAGGCUAAAAAGAAAAGAAAAAGAAAAAAGGAAAAAGCUGAUAAUCAGAUAAUUGGAUGUAUUUUCUCCACAUUAAAGACUAAAUGCCAAAAAUUGGACUUGGAGAAAAUGGAAUCAUUAUUUCCUCCUCUUUUAUAGCCUUGAGGCAAAAUUUCCAAGUCAAAUUUAUAAGGUGUACAGGGAUUUGGUUGCUUGUUUUGCUUUCUUCUCUCUUGCCAGUUACCUCCUGAGAGCUGGGCACGGAUCAGUGAGGUCCCUCCAUCAAGGCUGCCAGCAAGUCUGUGCCUGAUUUGGCUCACCUGGUGCCAAUGUCAAGUCCUGAUGCUUUGGAUAGUCCUUGGUUCUCCCCUCCAGAGUGGGCUGGACCCAGGCUCCCAGGUGAGGGGGCAACCUCUGCAUAGAACAUCCUGCUUCCUGUCAACUGAGGCAUUGGGCUUUUUGGUGAUGGUCAGGGUUGGCUCCUUUCUCUCUGCUUUGAGUACAUUCAGGCUAGCAUGGGCAGGGAAACUCACAAGGGAGAUGGCCAGUCCAGGGGCACUGGGUGGUCAUGACUUCCCCUCCUAUCUGGGACACAGAUCCUUCAAAUUGGGCUGGAGUCAUGGUUUCCACAUCCUGUGGUUGGCUAGCCUACCCACCAUGAUACCUUUCUGCUUGGGGAUGUCCUGUGUGGGCCUCAGUAAGGAUUUUCUAGGACAUGGCAUCUGGUUUCCCAGAGGAGGAAGCAGAAGUAGAGCAACUGGUGGUUUCCAGUCUUGAAGGUCUGGGAUCAGGUGCUAUCAAUAGUGCUGGGGCCACCAGCUCCUAGCUCCUUGGAACUCUGGGCAAGAAGGUAUUCUCAUUUCCACCUCUCCUGUUCCUCCAAGGAGGGGAGGGAUAUUCUGGUUCACUUCUAGUUCAGGUGCCAAGCCCUAAGCUCAAAGUUCCGAGAGCCACAGUAAGUUGUGAGAACCACAAGUUAGAAUCUUUGAUCAAACAAAGGGUAUGCCCCAUGCUUAAUAUAAUAAUUUCUUAGCAGAUAUCUGUGUUUAGAAAAUUGAAAAUAGGCUUAGGAUGCCUUGUGUUUCCUACAUAACUUCCAGUCAAUUAUCAACCUCCUCAUGAUAGAGUGGAUCUGAUGCCCAAUACUGGGGGUGGGUCAGGGCAUCACAAUGGAAAACUGAAAAAAAGAGGACAGGAUUAAACAAUGAUGACACAAAUUCAACCUUUCCAACAUAAAAAUGACUUAGAAAAUGUGAUCUCCAGACUUCCAUUCACAAACAUGCAGAGCCAGUCUUUCCUGAGAACCCAUGCCUAGCUGUGACCUUACAACAGGCACAGGUCCAUCAUCACCCUGAGCUCAACCCUGUCCUUCCUGGAUCUGCCUCGCCUGAUGCCUCAGUAGACAGAUAUCCUAGUACUUUGCAGGAGUUGGGGUGGAGGAGUGGCAGAGGCAGUGGCCCCAGCACUAUUGAUAGACAUUAUACCAAGAACUCCAAGAAGAGAAGAUUCUCAUGACCUCCACAAGCCUUUGGGGAGGCUACCAGCUCCUCCUCUCUACGGCCCUACCUGGAUAGUCUGAACCUCCAGGCCCCAUCCUUCCCCCACCCCCCAAAAGGCUUCUGGAAGGCCCAGCACUCUGCACCCAGGCUACCAAUAGCACUAGGAACCAGCCAGGACACACAGAUGCCUUUCCACUAGAAGAUCCACAAUCAAAAGACCUCAACACUUAAAUCCUAAGAAUCUUGUAAAGAAAAUGUUCUUUUGUUACUUGUAAGCAUUAUCACUUUUUAUUGAAUUAUGCUAUGAAUGAGUACCCUUGAAUCAAAUGAGACCAAUUAAGUUAAUGAAAAUAAAAUGUUUACCUUUCUAGAAACUUCCAUCAUAUUGAUAGACCCUUCAGACCUUUUGCAAAACAACACCAAACCAUCCUUCAGGUGGAUAACUCAAGCGCUAUUUCUUCCUAGAACUAUCAUGCUUUACUUUAAGGUUUCUGAACCUUGGCACUUAUUGGCAUUUGGGAUGGUAGAAUUUUUUUUUCUAACAGGCUGUCCUGUGUAUUACAGGAUAGUUAGCAGCAACUGUGACCUCUGCACACUAAAUACUAGUAGCAUAUACCCUCGCCCUCUAAGGUGGUAACAAUCUUAAAAUGGCUAGAGACAUUACCAUGUGUCCCAUGGGGAGCAAAAUUGCCCCAUAAAGAGCCACCAGGGGAAAAAUCCAUCCCCUACCCAGAACCACUACUCUGACUCAUAAGACAGCUUCCCUUCUAUGAACGCACUUUCCUCUGUCCUCCUCCAACACACACACACAUGUACACACAUACACACACACCUGUCUUCCUGUUCCCUUUACCCGAAACACUUUGCUUUUCCCCCUUUCCACUGAGAAACUCAUGCUUAUUCUUUAAGGCGUAAAUCCAGUGCUGCUCUUUAUAGCUGGCAGUCUGUGCCAGCUCAAUUUCCUUUCCCUAGUCCCACCGCCAUAGGCACCACAUACUGCUUUACUUGUCCUAAGUAAAGUGUUCACCAUAUGAUGUUGCCGUGACUUGUUCCCCCUUUCCCCUUCUUCCAAGAGGCCAUGAGUUCCUUAAGAGCAAGCUCUGUGUACCCCUACUGCCCAGUGUGGUUUCUGUGUGUGCGUGUGUGUCCCGACAAAUAUACACAGCACUCUACUCAAGUAAAUGUUUUUGUUGAGGCAUAAGCCAAAGUUGUAAGCUAUGUCAUUUACUAUAUUUUCUAAAAGAAUACAGUGAUUUUAGAAUUUAUCAAGAAAACUGAUUUUAGUUUGUCUAGGAUUCCCACCACCCCGGGCCUCUACUAGAUACUGGGUAAGAACAAGUUAAUUUGAAUAGAGACAGUGGAGGUUUUCUUAAAAAUACUCUGUUAAUAUCAGAGACAAAUGUGGGUGAAUACAGAAAGGCAAUGGGUUGUGACACCGUCCGAGUGAAGCUUUACCACAUGAAUUCAUGUGGGCUGGGAAUGAAUGAAAAUCAGGAUCAGGCAACCCCGGGACAGGCAAGGAGAAGCCAUUGCUUUCCUAACAAAAGGUGGCAGGAACAUGUCAGAGUGACCCAGGAUUGGAAGUGGAAGAAGGGAAGGGGAGUAAGUAGUAAAUAAUAGAAGUAAUAAAUAAUAUCAUCAAAUCUUUAGUUUGGAUGCUGGGAUGCUGAUUGACCACUCACCAAAAUGUAAAUAUUAGGGAAUGAAGGGAUUGAACUCAGCAUUUGGGAUACCAGUGGGCUAAAGGUCACAGACAUGGCUGGAAAUGGGAGUGUGAGGCUCCAGAGGAGCUGAGGCACCCAGGGACCAGCUUUGGGAGUCUAUUACUGAGACCAAGGGACAGUAUAAGAUGACUGAGGAAGGGCAGAUGGGAUCUGUGAUAAGAGAAGAGGGGCUGGCGAGGACAGCAAGCAGGAGCAAGAAGGAAGCCAGGAGCCACAUGCUGUGGAAGCCAGGAACGAAUGACAGUUCAAGAUUGUGACAUUUCAAGGAUUUCAGUGGGGCAGAAGUUGGUGUGAAUGAGAGCUGCGGAUGGGCCAGGGGUUUGUUGAUCAGGGGGUCUGUUGACUUGGGGGAAGUAAGACUAGGGGGGAGGAGGAGCUGAAAGCCAAACUGUGAGAAGCAGAGGACCAUGGAGACUGUGACGGUGGAGCUAGAAGAAACCAACCCCUCAAUGCACAAGUUAGUAGGAGGAAGGCAGGCAGCCCUGCAAUAGCUCAGGGGGAUAGCAGGGUUCAGAAAGGUUCUGUUUGUUUUUAGGUUGUGCAAGACUGGAACUUGUUUGUUGACAGAGCAAAAGGAAUAGAGAAAUAGAAGAUUCUGAAGCUUUAAGACAGACAACUUAAUAAGCAAAGUCUUGCAAGGAAAUGGGAUGGGAUCUGGCUCCUUGAGGAAGGGCUGCCUUUGAAAGGAGUAAGGGCAUCUUCCCCUUAGAGAAAAGUAAAGAAGGGGUUAGGAGUAAUGAGUCACAUCACCAGAACAAAGAGGAGAGUGGAGGAACCUCACUGCUAGACAUUCCCACCCUGCUCGAGCAAGACGGUAGACUGUGCAUAGAGGCCUGCAGAGUUUGUGAAAUCUGAGUUCCACACUGAUGAUCCUACAACAGGUAUUCCAGGGAAUUGACCAGAAAUGAUUUAAAAGACUGCAAGGCCAGAAGAGUUUCCACAAUUCCCUUCAGGUGGACAUAGCUUUUCCUGAAAAACUCCUACUCACUCUUCAACAUCCAACUUCAGUGUUCCCUUCUCUGACACAUCCAGAUGGAAACUGGGAGUCAUUUUAUCUCCUCGCCUCCAAGAUUUUUAUAAAAAUAUUUACCAUGUUGUGUUUGAAAUUCUGUUCACUGAGUUAUUCUCCUGAGCUUCUCAAAGUUUCUAAUUCGUCUCUGGAUUCCAGCACCUGGGGCCAUGACUCACACACUUUAGGUACUCAAAUCAUGAUGAGUGAGCGAACAAAGGAGUGAACUGACAUUUCCCCUGCUGGUGGAAGCUCACUUCUGCUGAUAGCACCAUUAACUAGAGCAGAGAGUCCUGAGGAGAGGCUGCGCUGCUUCUCUGGCUGCACAAGAUCUGAGAAAAACCACACAUGUGGAUAUAAAAGCACAUGAGAACAAUCAUGGCCAUGAAAUGAAUGUGAAAUGCAAAUGGUUUUCUCAAGACCCAUAUGCUAUCCUGACCAGCAGAAGAAAAGAGCAGGAGGUCUGACCAGGGAUGGGGGAAAAAAAAAAAAGGCCCAAGGCCCAAGAGAUCAUUUUCAGCUGGGAACAGAAUGACUUCCUAAAUAUUGGGAGGGUGUGCCCCAGAGAGCUGAGCACUACAGAUGCGCUCACUGAAAGAAAACAACCCUCAUUUUUUUUUUUACAUAAAUUCUGUUUUGAAUCAGACUGUCUCUCUAGCAUAACCUUGCUGCUGAAAGUCACAGCUCCAUGAAAUCCUGUUUCAGAUGGAAUUUGGUGAACUUAAUGUGAAUUCAUGGUACCCAGCAACACCAGUGAUGCUUGUACUGAGCCCUACCAUAGGUCCUGUGUCUAUCUCAUGAUCUCUCUGCUAGUUGGGGUGAUUGCCUUUGUCUUAGACAUGGGGAAAAUGAGGCAAGAAGCAGAGAAGUUAGACCCCAGUCUGCAGCGCCAAGAUUAAAGACAGAGUCUUUCUAGCUGCAAAGCCCUGCUCUUCCUACUCUAUUGUGUGAAUGCUCCAGCAAGUACCAUCACAGAAGGGUAGUUGUGGGGACACACAGAAUCAACUCCAGCUUCAAGGACAUGCACACAAUAGUAGUAGUCAGCAUGUUGGAGCUGGCAGGGCUUUAAGGGGUCACCCACUUCACCCCUGUGCAUCUUAGAGAUGAGGAAACUGAGUCACCAAGAAAGCUCACUGCCUUUGGUCACAUUGCUUACUAGUGGCAAAGCAACAAUAAAAUCCAGGAUCCCAGGGUCCUUCCUGUGUCUUCUCACCCUGAGUCCUUGAAAGCCUCCCCCAUUGGACAGGAGCUUAUCUCUAGCCAAAAUAUCAUCUGUGGCUGAGCCAGGUCAACUCACUUCCUGGGCAAAUAGCCCUGCAUUUUUCAUAAAACCAAAUGCACAUAAACCUGAAUGUGAUUCCAGCAAAACUACAAUGUCUACUUGGUGGUAAAAGAAAUCUUUAACUGAGCAUCUCACCAAAUACCUCUCUCUGCUGCCCAAACCUCCCCAGCAUGUAUUUCUUAUGCUGAGGAAGCUGUUUAGCUAGGAUCAGGUGGGGGUCAUUGCCAGCGCAGCCAGGGGGACAUCGGGCUCAAGGUUAAGGCCAGGAGCCUACUAAAGCCAACCCAGAUGGGAGGGAAUGUGGUACCCAAAUCCCAGAUAUUCUAUGUUUACUAAACUGAAACUCUGUCAAGCCCCUUCAGGGAGGCCUCUUAGGACCACUGUUGGGUGGUUAAAAUGAGUAACCAAGCCUUUAGAAGGGCUGUGCUCAGGUACUCCAUGCCCCUGUGUUUAGAAGUUACAAUAAUAACACAUAUUGCUCUGGUGUAUCUACCUCAGACACCCUCAGUGGGUGAUUCUGUCCAGUGGAGAGCAGGGGCUAAGAUAUGUUGGAUUGUUUUGAAGACUCUGUGUGUCCACCACAGCAAGAAGUGGCAUGGACAGGUUACCGAGGAGACUUGGUUAUACCUUAAAAGAGCUUCUCUAGGUUUCCUGGGAUUAUAGGAGCAGUAUGGACAGUUUCCACCCUCAGCAGGAAGGGACAGACAUCUUAUGGAUAUCUUUGAAAUAGUUUUCUAACACCAGGAAACUUCAAGAAGUUUAUCCCCUUUACCCCAUUCUUCCAUUAUUGACUAUUAGUUUUUAGAGAAACACACACACACACACACACACACACACACACACACAAUUUCUCACAAUCUGGAGUCUGAGAAAUCCAGGAUUGAGGUACCAGCAGAUCCAAUGUCUGGUGAGGACUUGCUUCCUGGUUAGCAGAUGGGCAUCUUCUUGUAGCAUCCUCACAUGACAGAGAACAGAAGGGAGGGGAAAAGGAAGGCAGGGAGAGGGAAAGAAAAAGAGAGGAAGAAAGCUAUUGAGUAUCUUCACAUGAGGGCACUAAUCUCAUUCAAAAGGGCUCCAGCCUCAUAACCCAGUAACUUCCCAAAGAUCCACCUCCUAAUGUUACAUGGGAGUUAACAUUUCAACUUAUGAAUUUGGGGCAGGGGACAAAAAAACUUCAUUCCAUAACUGAAGGGAGAAUAACAGAAGCAAGAGUUGCCAAGAAAAAAAAAAAACAUGAUUUUGCUUCAGGCUGGCCCUUCUCUUGUGCCCUUUUGGAGUGUGUAUUAGUCACCGUUCCCUAAUCAUAACUUGCCAUCAGCCUCCUUUGAUUCCUGAAGUCCAUGAAGAAUGCAAGUGCUGAUAAUUUAUUGAAGAAUUUCCUCCACUUUUAGAGAUCUUGUGAUUUUCCACCUUGGAGAAAGGGCUUCCUUAGGGAUGGAGUGCAAUCAGUGGACACACUGUCUUGUCCUGAGCUCAUCUCUCCAGUGCCUCAGCCUUGACCUAUGAUGUCUGUUUUGGCUGUUCUAGCCUUGGACCCCUACUCAGUGACCUCAUUGCUGCCUUUAUUGGUCUUUGCCAUAUGGCCUGUAGGAAUUAUAAACCCAGAACUAAACUCCACAGGCCAGAACUGCCAAGGUAAAGCAGUAUUAAUCCACCUGAGCCAAAGUUAUUGCAUUUCCUCCAGCUCCACACGAAUGAAGAAAUUUGUCAAAUAUUUAUUCUGGAAGAGAAACCAAAAUCAAGUUAAUGGGAAAGGAGAGUGAAUGAUUGAAUUCUGUUAUUGUCUUUCCUGGCUCUCUAUGUUGCUGGUGAAAGCCAUAAAACCUUAUUUGUGCUACUCAUUUUCAUAUUUUCUUGCUUACAUUAUAGCUGAAAGAAAAGUCAGGGCUGGCUCCAGAUGAAACAUCUCUGCCUGGAAAAGGAACACUUUGUCCCAGAGCCACAACUGGCACAGCCCUGCAGAGCAAACUUACACAAUGAAGUCAGGGUGCAAGUCAAACAAGGGAAGAAGUGGAAAGAGAAAAAGCCCAACAGAUGUAGCCUCUUUAAUUUAGUAAAGUUUGUGGAUAGAUCCACAGAAAUUAUCAUGAGUACCUGGUUUGCUAGCAGUAGCAGGUUGGUCUCUGGAUCUUCCCCCAUCUGAGUUUCCACAGAUUGCCAUACAUGGCAUUUUGACAAGGAGUCUUUGAGUAAAUCCAGUCUGACAUGACCUACAAGAGGAGAUCAUACUGCUUAGAAUUAGCUCUACCAGCACCUUCUCUUUCCUAAGAUAGAAGAAGAGAAGCAUAGAUUUAAUUUUGUCUUCAUGCACAUGUGUUCAUGUGUUGAAAAUAAAAGUAUCAGGAGAGAAAGAGAACAGAAAUAAACCAAAUUCUGAUGAUCAGAGAAUACCACAAUAAAUUGAAAUAAAUUGGGGCCUCAGGCCAAGACUGGGCUGGAAAAUUAUUACAAUUACUUGAAGAAAGAUUAUGAAGGUAAGGAACAAUGGUUCUGUCAAUGAGCCAGAAGAAGCUCAAUCAAGGGCUUCACUUUUGUGCCCACUGUGCUGACAAAAGGCCCUGAUGAGAGAAGAAUAAGGCCUAGUUCCUACCUACAGUCUCUGCCAGGCCCGUACUGUGCUCAGAUUGGUUUGUGAGAGCAGAUUAUGAAGUAUUCAGAAAAUUCUCAUGCAGGUUAUUAAACUACUUCUUCCUGGAAAUUGGACAGUUUUAAAAAGAAUAUGUAAGCCAUGAAAAUGGACAAAUGUUACUAAUCGGGACUUUGCUUUCAGACAGCUGGUUUAUACCACAUAAAGGGGCCCUCCCCCAAGAUGGAAGAUGAUGGAUUUAGAGAGAACAUAAUCCAGAAAAGGACAGUGUGACUGCUGGAGAGCAGGUCUCCAGGACAUGGCAAAGCCAUUUUGUGUCAUGGAGAGACCCCUGUUGAAGGCAGAACUGGAGGAAAAUGGAGGAAAGAAAUGCCUGUGCCUUCUCCUAGCCAACCUUCAACACCAUCCCUCGCCUGCCCAUCCAGGGCAUCCCAUCUGCCUGUUCAGUUUCAAGGGAGAAGAAGAGAGGAACUCAAAGGAAAGAAGGGAAAAACAGAAUAGCUACUAAUAUAGGAUUCAUUGUCUUUUAGGGAUGACAGGGCUUGGAAGAUUACUGAACACAACCCCUUACUUCCCAAUAGGUAAAAUGACAGUACAGCCAGGCCUGGGAACCUGGUCUCACCCAUCACCCCGACUGUGAGUCAGAUGCUGUGUUGGUUCCUAACCUUGUCAUUUCCUGCUUCUACUUCUAAUACAGCUUGCUCACAAGUAGGAGAAGGAGAUGGAACUCAAAGAGAAGUUCAUUAGCCCCUCCCUUGUAGCCAGCACACUAAAUUGAUAUUGUCUUAGGAAGAAUUAGGUUUAUUAUUUUCAACUAUGAAGAACCUGCCAAUUUAGAAAAGGGAUGUGAGGUUGAAACUCUGAUAAUGAAGAUGCUGUGUAUGUACCAGCUGGCGUAAUUCGGAAAAAAAAGUGUCAUUUGUCCUAAAUUGAGUUCCAAGUCGUAAUUUCCAAUCACAACCUGUACUCCCGAGGAGACUAUCAAAAAAUGAGCUGGUGAUUUCAAUUCCUUCCAGAUGGAAAAAUAUUGAUGUCAUCCCUAAGCUUGCCUCUGAGAGAGUCGUUUUGUUCUGCCUCGCCUAACAGCGCAGCAGAGGUAGAGGUGUCAGAGUUGGAAGGAGUCCCUGAGACCAAACAGGCCCUUCUGGAGCUAUUUCCUACCUGUCAGGCUUGCACCUCUCGCACUGAGGACAGGGAAUGUGCACAGCUGCACUUUCUCAGGGAGUAGAAGAUUUGGUUCUAUGCUCAACGCCCAACCCCUGUCAUCAGCAUUAAAUUCACAUUAUAUUUUAAGAAGAGAGAUUCUUAUUAAGCCAGGCUAAAUAAAGCCUUUGUGGAAGAACAACUCCCUGCAGGUCCCAGAGGGAUGGAUGGAAUUUGGAGCUUGAUGGCCCUGCCACCUCUCUGACGGCAAGGAGUAUUCCAACAGAAACAGCAAAGGAGAUUCAUAUCCACCUUGGACAGCAUGAGCUUUCCCUAGCAAGAGGAUUUCAGAGGUUUUCUUCAAAGUGUCAUUUUGGAGGAUUAAUCUGGAGGAAGAAGAGUUAUCUGAGAUGAAUUUUCAAAAUCUCUCUUUGUGUCUAGUAAUUAAUUGUAUAACUGAGAUGACUUAAAGGGGCCCACUCAUCAUCCGUAGAUAUGUCCACCAAACAGAUGGCAAACCCCACAUAGUGGACCUAGAGAAAAGCAAAACAGAACACAUUUUCCACAUAGUAAUGCCCUGACCACUGUGAGGACAGCAGCUCCAUCUACAUAAGAUGGUUUGAGCAUCACGUGAUGCUUCCUAACAAAUCUGUUGGGUUAGAGGUUGACCAGCCAUCUCAGUUUUUUCCAAAACCAUGAGGGUUCUUGUGAAGCAAGAUUUUAGUUUGAAAUCAGGAUAGUCCUGGAUGAAAUGGGAAGAGUUGGUAAUGCCAUUGAACCCAAGGUCCCUCUGCAUCCCAAUUCAUUGACUAGGAAAUUGAAACUCUUUUAAGAAUUUAAGAAACUUGCUCCAGACCACAUAUUUAAUGGCAGGACUUGAGUUUAUAUUUUAAUCUAACUUUAAAAACAGGACUUUCCUUUCAAUGACCUAUAAUGAGAUCGAUGAUAAAUAUAUUGACAGAGAAAGGUGUCAAAAUAUUACAUAGGUGUUUGCUUGUAUUCUUCCACACUGGAAGAUGAUGUAAAAGAAAGCAGACUUAAAAACCAGGCUAGGAUGAGAAAGAUUUCCUGAAUUUCUUUGGGAAGGAAGCAGAAAGAACUCAGACCAUGGAGUAUUUCUCACUUUUUAAAGAUCACAUGGCUCCUGAUUAUCAGGACUAGUUCUGAAGUAGGGAAAGCAGCCAUUCCAGUUUUUUCAGUCCUCAUUUAUAGGACAUGAUGACCCUAGGUACAUGUGUUGUCCUGAUGAAUAAUUGAACGCUCCUCUCACCCCCCAAAAGCUCUGAUUGGAUAAUAGAAUCACCCAUACUAAGAGGCUUGCUACCACAUAGUGGAAGAAAGAUAUGAGACACUGGCAAGAAAAGAAAGCUUACUCUUUCUGGUGGCAAUUAUGAGAAGAGAUAAAUAAAUAAAGGCAGGUAAAGGAAGGAUCUGGGCAGUGGAGUACUGGAGUCUGCUUUGCUGGCUAGCAAGGUAAAAUGCAAAUCAGAGCUGCUCUAAGAUCUCAUCUCACUACAGUCAGAAUGGCAGUUAUCAACAAUACAAGCAAUAAUAAAUGUUGGAGGGGAUGUGGAGAAAAAGGCACACUUAUACAUUGUUGGUGGGACUGCAGAU